CACUCCUGCGGGAGGCAGCAGUGGGGAAUUUUGGACAAUGGGGGCAACCCUGAUCCAGCAAUGCCGCGUGAGUGAAGAAGGCCUUCGGGUUGUAAAGCUCUUUUGUCAGGGAAGAAACGGUGGUGGCGAAUAACUACUACUAAUGACGGUACCUGAAGAAUAAGCACCGGCUAACUACGUGCCAGCAGCCGCGGUAAUACGUAGGGUGCAAGCGUUAAUCGGAAUUACUGGGCGUAAAGCGUGCGCAGGCGGUUGUGUAAGUCAGAUGUGAAAUCCCCGGGCUCAACCUGGGAAUUGCAUUUGAGACUGCACGGCUAGAGUGUGUCAGAGGGGGGUAGAAUUCCACGUGUAGCAGUGAAAUGCGUAGAUAUGUGGAGGAAUACCGAUGGCGAAGGCAGCCCCCUGGGAUAACACUGACGCUCAUGCACGAAAGCGUGGGGAGCAAACAGGAUUAGAUACCCCAGUAGUCCCAUGA
This 475-nucleotide ribosomal RNA is filed under the name uncultured organism. RNAcentral describes it as "partial 16S ribosomal RNA". It matches the Rfam family "Bacterial small subunit ribosomal RNA", at positions 334 to 800 of the family's 1533-position model. The record is from RNAcentral.